Molecule: ribosomal RNA, 265 nt
Filed under: uncultured bacterium
Lineage: Bacteria
Description: partial 16S ribosomal RNA
Rfam family: Bacterial small subunit ribosomal RNA
Source: RNAcentral
AGUGGCGAACGGGUGAGUAACGCGUGAGUAACCUGCCCUGGGAGUGGGGGGACAACAGUUGGAAACGACUGCUAAUACCGCAUAAGCCCACGGAUCCGCAUGGAUCUGCGGGAAAAGGAUUUAUUCGCUUCAGGAUGGACUCGCGUCCAAUUAGCUAGUUGGUGAGGUAACGGCCCACCAAGGCGACGAUUGGUAGCCGGACUGAGAGGUUGAACGGCCACAUUGGGACUGAGACACGGCCCAGACUCCUACGGGAGGCAGCAUG